This 818-nucleotide ribosomal RNA is filed under the name Paenibacillus sp. SVP_S 25. RNAcentral describes it as "bacterial SSU rRNA". It matches the Rfam family "Bacterial small subunit ribosomal RNA", at positions 238 to 999 of the family's 1533-position model. Lineage: Bacteria; Bacillati; Bacillota; Bacilli; Caryophanales; Paenibacillaceae. The record is from RNAcentral. RNAcentral also lists the same sequence under 2 other names.
GCAUUACUAGUUNGUGGGGUACGGCCCUACAAGGCGACNAUGCGUAUCCGACCUGAGAGGGUGAACGGCCACACUGGGACUGAGACACGGCCCAGACUCCUACGGGAGGCAGCAGUAGGGAACUCUUCCGCAAUGGGCGAAAGCCUGACGGAGCAACGCCGCGUGAGUAGAUGAAGGUUUUCGGAUCGUAAAGCUCUGUUGCCAGGAAGAACGUCCGGUAGAGUAACUGCUGACGGANUGACGGUACCUGAGAAGAAAGCCCCGGCUAACUACGUGCCAGCAGCCGCGGUAAUACGUAGGGGGCAAGCGUUGUCCGGAAUUAUGGGCGUAAAGCGGCGCGCAGUGCGUGCUGCUUAAGUCUGGUGUUAAAACCUUGGGCUCAACCUGGGGUCGCACUGGAAACUUGGGCAGAUUGAUGUACAGACAGGAAGGAACACGUGGAAUUCCACGGUUUAUCGGUAACAUGCGGUAGAGAUUGUGGACGGAACACCCCGUGGCGAAUGGCACUUCCUCUGGGCUGGUAACUGAACGCUUAAGCGGCGAAAAGCGGUNGGGAGNACAGACCGGAUUNGAUACCCCUGGUAGUCCACGCCGUAAACGAAAGUGNUAANGUGUUAGGGGGUUUGAUACCCCCUUUGUGNCUNACAGGUUUAACACNCAGGUAAAGACUUCCGGCCUGGGGGAAGUACGGUCGGCAAGANNUUGAAAUCUCAAAGUGAAUUGACGGGGGGACCCGGCACAAAGCCGGUGGAGUAUGAUGGUUAAAUUCGAAGGCAACGCGAAGAACCUUAUCCAGGGUCUUNCAUUCNACGUAACGA